RNAcentral lists this ribosomal RNA (116 nucleotides) under Pteropus alecto (black flying fox). The record is from RNAcentral. Lineage: Eukaryota; Metazoa; Chordata; Mammalia; Chiroptera; Pteropodidae.
GUCUACGGCCAUGCCCCUCUGAACAAGCCCGAUGUCUGAUCUCGGAAGCUAAGCAGGGUCUGGCCUGGUUAGUACUUGGAUGGGAGACCACCUAGGAAGGCCGAGUGCUGUAGGCA